RNAcentral lists this ribosomal RNA (1428 nucleotides) under bacterium msa1. RNAcentral describes it as "bacterial SSU rRNA". It matches the Rfam family "Bacterial small subunit ribosomal RNA". The record is from RNAcentral.
ACAUGCAAGUCGAGCGAACAGACAAGGAGCUUGCUCCUUUGACGUUAGCGGCGGACGGGUGAGUAACACGUGGGUAACCUACCUAUAAGACUGGGAUAACUUCGGGAAACCGGAGCUAAUACCGGAUAAUAUUUCGAACCGCAUGGUUCGAUAGUGAAAGAUGGUUUUGCUAUCACUUAUAGAUGGACCCGCGCCGUAUUAGCUAGUUGGUAAGGUAACAGCUUACCAAGGCGACGAUACGUAGCCGACCUGAGAGGGUGAUCGGCCACACUGGAACUGAGACACGGUCCAGACUCCUACGGGAGGCAGCAGUAGGGAAUCUUCCGCAAUGGGCGAAAGCCUGACGGAGCAACGCCGCGUGAGUGAUGAAGGUCUUCGGAUCGUAAAACUCUGUUAUUAGGGAAGAACAUACGUGUAAGUAACUGUGCACGUCUUGACGGUACCUAAUCAGAAAGCCACGGCUAACUACGUGCCAGCAGCCGCGGUAAUACGUAGGUGGCAAGCGUUAUCCGGAAUUAUUGGGCGUAAAGCGCGCGUAGGCGGUUUUUUAAGUCUGAUGUGAAAGCCCACGGCUCAACCGUGGAGGGUCAUUGGAAACUGGAAAACUUGAGUGCAGAAGAGGAAAGUGGAAUUCCAUGUGUAGCGGUGAAAUGCGCAGAGAUAUGGAGGAACACCAGUGGCGAAGGCGACUUUCUGGUCUGUAACUGACGCUGAUGUGCGAAAGCGUGGGGAUCAAACAGGAUUAGAUACCCUGGUAGUCCACGCCGUAAACGAUGAGUGCUAAGUGUUAGGGGGUUUCCGCCCCUUAGUGCUGCAGCUAACGCAUUAAGCACUCCGCCUGGGGAGUACGACCGCAAGGUUGAAACUCAAAGGAAUUGACGGGGACCCGCACAAGCGGUGGAGCAUGUGGUUUAAUUCGAAGCAACGCGAAGAACCUUACCAAAUCUUGACAUCCUUUGACAACUCUAGAGAUAGAGCUUUCCCCUUCGGGGGACAAAGUGACAGGUGGUGCAUGGUUGUCGUCAGCUCGUGUCGUGAGAUGUUGGGUUAAGUCCCGCAACGAGCGCAACCCUUAAGCUUAGUUGCCAUCAUUAAGUUGGGCACUCUAAGUUGACUGCCGGUGACAAACCGGAGGAAGGUGGGGAUGACGUCAAAUCAUCAUGCCCCUUAUGAUUUGGGCUACACACGUGCUACAAUGGACAAUACAAAGGGCAGCGAAACCGCGAGGUCAAGCAAAUCCCAUAAAGUUGUUCUCAGUUCGGAUUGUAGUCUGCAACUCGACUACAUGAAGCUGGAAUCGCUAGUAAUCGUAGAUCAGCAUGCUACGGUGAAUACGUUCCCGGGUCUUGUACACACCGCCCGUCACACCACGAGAGUUUGUAACACCCGAAGCCGGUGGAGUAACCAUUUGGAGCUAGCCGUCGAAGG